RNAcentral lists this ribosomal RNA (456 nucleotides) under uncultured Leptolinea sp. RNAcentral's name for it is "bacterial SSU rRNA". It matches the Rfam family "Bacterial small subunit ribosomal RNA", at positions 916 to 1381 of the family's 1533-position model. Lineage: Bacteria; Bacillati; Chloroflexota; Anaerolineae; Anaerolineales; Anaerolineaceae. The record is from RNAcentral.
ACGGGCCCCGGCACAAGCGAGCGGAGCGUGUGGUUUAAUUCGAUGCUACACGAAGAACCUUACCAGGGUUUGACAUGCAAGUGGUAGGAAACCGAAAGGCGACCGACCCUUCGGGAGCUUGCACAGGUGCUGCAUGGCUGUCGUCAGCUCGUGUCGUGAGAUGUUCGGUUAAGUCCGCUAACGAGCGCAACCCUCGCUGUGUGUUACAAGUGUCACACGGUACUGCCGGUCUUAAGCCGGAGGAAGGUGGGGAUGACGUCAAGUCAGCAUGGCCUUUAUGUCCUGGGCUACACACACGCUACAAUGGCCAACACAAUAGGUUGCUAAGCCGCGAGGUGGAGCCAAUCCUCAAAGUUGGUCUCAGUUCAGAUUGCAGGCUGCAACCCGCCUGCAUGAAGAUGGAGUUGCUAGUAACCGCAGGUCAGCUAUACUGCGGUGAAUACGUUCCCGGGGCUU